GUGGGGAAUCUUAGACAAUGGGGGAAACCCUGAUCUAGCCAUGCCGCGUGAGCGAUGAAGGCCUUAGGGUUGUAAAGCUCUUUCAGCUGGGAAGAUAAUGACUGUACCAGCAGAAGAAGCCCCGGCUAACUCCGUGCCAGCAGCCGCGGUAAUACGGAGGGGGCUAGCGUUGUUCGGAAUUACUGGGCGUAAAGCGCACGUAGGCGGACCGGAAAGUCAGAGGUGAAAUCCCAGGGCUCAACCUUGGAACUGCCUUUGAAACUCCUGAUCUUGAGGUCGAGAGAGGUGAGUGGAAUUCCGAGUGUAGAGGUGAAAUUCGUAGAUAUUCGGAGGAACACCAGUGGCGAAGGCGGCUCACUGGCUCGAUACUGACGCUGAGGUGCGAAAGCGUGGGGAGCAAACAGGAUUAGAAACCCCUGUAGUCC
RNAcentral lists this ribosomal RNA (425 nucleotides) under uncultured bacterium. Its description in RNAcentral is "partial 16S ribosomal RNA". It matches the Rfam family "Bacterial small subunit ribosomal RNA", at positions 354 to 796 of the family's 1533-position model. The record is from RNAcentral.